This 314-nucleotide long non-coding RNA is filed under the name Linum usitatissimum (flax). RNAcentral describes it as "long non-coding RNA (LUSI_LNC006797)". Lineage: Eukaryota; Viridiplantae; Streptophyta; Magnoliopsida; Malpighiales; Linaceae. The record is from RNAcentral.
UACGUAAACAAGAACCAAUGAUUUUGAUUGCUUUUAAUUUCUAACAGUCCAUUAAUCAAAAUAUAAUAAGUAAAUUGAACAAACACAAAUCAAAUGAUGAUUAAAUUCAACAUUUAAAUGCUCUAGGGAAUUUUUCAGGUUUGAAGUUAAAUAUUAAAUGCAAAUACACCGUUUAUUAAUCAAUUUUAUUCUCCUUAUUUCACGACCGAAUAAUCUCUACGGUGAUGACUCUUCGUGUCCGGACUAGCCAUGUACUAUCAAAAAAUUUAUAUCCUACUGUUGUAGUCAGUAUAAGUAAUUAAAUAGCCUUAAGU